ACGAACGCUGGCGGCAGGCCUAACACAUGCAAGUCGAGCGAGGACUUCGGUUCUAGCGGCGGACGGGUGAGUAACGCGUGGGAAUGUGCCCUUCUCUACGGAAUAGCCCUGGGAAACUGGGAGUAAUACCGUAUACGCCCUAUUGGGGAAAGAUUUAUCGGAGAAGGAUCAGCCCGCGUUGGAUUAGGUAGUUGGUGGGGUAAUGGCCUACCAAGCCGACGAUCCAUAGCUGGUUUGAGAGGAUGAUCAGCCACACUGGGACUGAGACACGGCCCAGACUCCUACGGGAGGCAGCAGUGGGGAAUCUUAGACAAUGGGGGCAACACUGAUCUAGCCAUGCCGCGUGAGUGAUGAAGGCCUUAGGGUUGUAAAGCUCUUUCAGCUGGGAAGAUAAUGACGGUACCAGCAGAAGAAGCCCCGGCUAACUCCGUG
This 432-nucleotide ribosomal RNA is filed under the name uncultured bacterium. RNAcentral describes it as "partial 16S ribosomal RNA". It matches the Rfam family "Bacterial small subunit ribosomal RNA", at positions 29 to 507 of the family's 1533-position model. The record is from RNAcentral.